GUACUAUAGACUGUCUGACGCUGAUGAUAUCCUUUCAGCAAGAAAGGAGACAGCCAUUGGUUAAAAGGUUGAGUGUGUGGUGAUUUUGAGAGCCACUGGCAAAGCCCAACACCCAGGUUUCAAGUUGGUGAGGUAUCCAAUCUUACAGCAUUAAAACCACUUUGCAGUGCCAAUGACAACACUUAGAUACAACACUUAGAUGUCAAGGUAAUGCUGCCUGCUUGAGGAAGAAGAAAAACCAUGAAAGCUUAGAAGUAAGAAUUCCAAAAAAUAGGCCGAAGUCUGCCAGAUGAACAAUCAAAGUGAAGAAUGACCAUCACCUUAUAGACAGCAGAAUGUCAUCAGUGCUAAAAGACAAGAAGAACAACAUGAGACAAUUUAAUCCACUCUUGAAACCUGGAAUUCAGAAUUUUGUUUACUGUGUCUAUAAUUAUUUUCACAUUAUCUGUGUUGAACCAUCUGUCUUUUGGCUGUCUUAAUUGUGAACAUUUGAGUGUGUAUUUGGGAUUUUUGAGGUGGGUAUAGUUUAAAAUAUAUAACAGGAGAACAGAAAUGCCUCAUUUUCCCUGACUU
This is a long non-coding RNA of Rhincodon typus (whale shark), 573 nucleotides long. RefSeq lists it as uncharacterized. Lineage: Eukaryota; Metazoa; Chordata; Chondrichthyes; Orectolobiformes; Rhincodontidae. The record is from RefSeq and is a predicted model, not a curated record. The transcript is spliced from 3 exons.